GGAAAACAGAAAACAAUUAUCAGAUUGAAGGCCAAGGACAUGGCGCAGUAUUUGACUGCAAAUGCUCUCCUGAUGGUCAGCAUUUUGCAUGCACAGACUCUCAUGGACAUCUUUUAAUUUUUGGCUUUGGGUCCAGUAGCAAAUAUGACAAGAUAGCAGAUCAGAUGUUCUUUCAUAGUGAUUAUCGGCCACUUAUUCGUGAUGCCAACAAUUUUGUAUUAGAUGAACAGACUCAGCAAGCACCUCAUCUUAUGCCUCCCCCUUUUUUGGUUGAUGUUGAUGGUAACCCUCAUCCAUCAAGAU
This 303-nucleotide long non-coding RNA is filed under the name Homo sapiens (human). RNAcentral describes it as "HSALNT0108884". Lineage: Eukaryota; Metazoa; Chordata; Mammalia; Primates; Hominidae. The record is from RNAcentral.